Molecule: long non-coding RNA, 232 nt
Filed under: Elaeis guineensis (African oil palm)
Lineage: Eukaryota; Viridiplantae; Streptophyta; Magnoliopsida; Arecales; Arecaceae
Description: long non-coding RNA (EGUI_LNC004416)
Source: RNAcentral
GGUGGUCAAACUUUCUUCAGUUCACAAUACAAUCCUUAGCCGUUCAAGCUUAUGGACUCUAAAGACUGUAGUGUCGAGCUAUCACUUGAUGGUGAAGUUUUCAACCCCAAUGGAGUAGGGCAAGUCAGAGUUAAUCAAGCCAUGGCUCGACAGUAUUUUGUUGUCAAACUUCAAGCAGAAAGCCAGCCAUCCCAAGCAGAGGUCCAACCUAAACUUUCUAUUGAGUUAGAUG